GACGAACCGUGCAAACGUUGUUCGGAAUCACUGGGCUUAAAGGGCGCGUAGGCGGCAGACCAAGUCCGGGGUGAAAUCUUUCGGCUUAACCGGAAAAGGGCCUUGGAUACUGGUUUGCUAGAGGGAGGUAGGGGUCUGUGGAACUUCUGGUGGAGCGGUGAAAUGCGUUGAUAUCAGAAGGAACGCCGGUGGCGAAAGCGGCGGACUGGAUCUCUUCUGACGCUGAGGCGCGAAAGCCAGGGGAGCAAACGGG
RNAcentral lists this ribosomal RNA (253 nucleotides) under uncultured bacterium. RNAcentral describes it as "partial 16S ribosomal RNA". It matches the Rfam family "Bacterial small subunit ribosomal RNA", at positions 524 to 776 of the family's 1533-position model. The record is from RNAcentral.